AACGCACAUUGCGCCUCUUGGUAUUCCGAGGGGCAUGUCUGUUUGAGCGUCAGUACCCACUCUCCUCGCCGGCCGUUUGUUCGGCCGCGCGGGCGAGGUCUUGGGGACCGGGGCGUCACAACCCCGCCCCCUAACGUGGCACGCUUGCGAACCCGACACCGAUCACGACGUAGUACACACAAAUUCUCGUCGGCACGAAAGGUUAGGGCCGCCUGAAAACAUCAAACUCUGUAGUUUGACCUCAGAUCAGACAAGGAUACCCGCUGAACUUAA
Molecule: unclassified non-coding RNA, 273 nt
Filed under: Epithamnolia sp.
Lineage: Eukaryota; Fungi; Ascomycota; Leotiomycetes; Phacidiales
Description: partial contains 5.8S ribosomal RNA, internal transcribed spacer 2, and large subunit ribosomal RNA
Rfam family: 5.8S ribosomal RNA (bases 1-52)
Source: RNAcentral